This 82-nucleotide transfer RNA is filed under the name Actinomycetaceae bacterium. RNAcentral describes it as "tRNA-Leu". It matches the Rfam family "tRNA". Rfam says of the family: Transfer RNA (tRNA) molecules are approximately 80 nucleotides in length. Their secondary structure includes four short double-helical elements and three loops (D, anti-codon, and T loops). Lineage: Bacteria; Bacillati; Actinomycetota; Actinomycetes; Actinomycetales; Actinomycetaceae. The record is from RNAcentral.
GCGCGAGUGGCGGAAUUGGCAGACGCGCCAGAUUUAGGUUCUGGUGCCUUCGGGCGUGGGGGUUCAAGUCCCCCCUUGCGCA